GACAGAGGUGCCGAGCGUUAGGCGGAAUUACUGGGCGUAAAGGGCUCGUAGGCGGCCAACUAAGUCAGACGUGAAAUCCCCAGGCUCAACCUGGGAACUGCGUCUGAUACUGGAUGGCUUGAAUUCGGGAGAGGGAUGCAGAAUUCCAGGUGUAGCGGUGAAAUGCGUAGAUAUCUGGAGGAACACCGGUGGCGAAGGCGGGUCUCUGGGCCGAUACUGACGCUGAGGAGCGAAAGCGUGGGGAGCGAACA
Molecule: ribosomal RNA, 251 nt
Filed under: uncultured bacterium
Lineage: Bacteria
Description: partial 16S ribosomal RNA
Rfam family: Bacterial small subunit ribosomal RNA
Source: RNAcentral